GUCUCUGUGGCGCAAUCGGUUUAGCGCGUUCGGCUGUUAACCGAAAGGUUUUUGGUGGUUCAAGCCCACCCAGGGACG
Molecule: non-coding RNA, 78 nt
Organism: Ruditapes philippinarum (Manila clam)
Lineage: Eukaryota; Metazoa; Mollusca; Bivalvia; Venerida; Veneridae
Source: the annotation of a RefSeq genome assembly